Molecule: ribosomal RNA, 253 nt
Filed under: uncultured bacterium
Lineage: Bacteria
Description: partial 16S ribosomal RNA
Rfam family: Bacterial small subunit ribosomal RNA
Source: RNAcentral
UACGGGGGGGGCAAGCGUUGUUCGGAAUUACUGGGCGUAAAGGGCUCGUAGGUGGCCAACUAAGUCAGACGUGAAAUCCCUCAGCUUAACUGGGGAACUGCGUCUGAUACUGGAUGGCUUGAGUUUGGGAGAGGGAUGCGGAAUUCCAGGUGUAGCGGUGAAAUGCGUAGAUAUCUGGAGGAACACCGGUGGCGAAGGCGGCAUCCUGGACCAACACAGACACUGAGGAGCGAAAGCCAGGGGAGCAAACGGG